UAUACACCUUCACAGUUCAGUUGGCAGUUUGAAGGCGAUGGCCAGAAAAAAAAAGGCUUUGCAAUGAGCAAGGGAAAUCAUGUUUGUACAACAGCUUUCAGAAUUGCCUCGUGGAAAGGGGGAAAAUUGAAGACUCGGCCAACCAACUAGGCGCUGUGAAGUUCUACCAGACGCAGGAAAUAAUUCACGCCGCCUUUGCAUUAUGGACAUCUAUCUCCUAUCACGUUGGGCAUUGUCACCUUCAUCCUCGGAGACCCAGGGGCUGUGGGUCGAUUUCAAGUUAGG
Molecule: long non-coding RNA, 285 nt
Organism: Stylophora pistillata
Lineage: Eukaryota; Metazoa; Cnidaria; Anthozoa; Scleractinia; Pocilloporidae
Source: RefSeq, a predicted model, not a curated record